Molecule: ribosomal RNA, 330 nt
Filed under: Amphidoma sp.
Lineage: Eukaryota; Dinophyceae; Gonyaulacales; Amphidomataceae
Description: partial large subunit ribosomal RNA
Rfam family: Eukaryotic large subunit ribosomal RNA
Source: RNAcentral
CAAGUACCAUGAGGGAAAGAUGAAAAGGACUUUGAAAAGAGAGUUAAAAGUGCCUGAAAUUGCUGAAAGGGAAGCGAAUGGAACCAGUGCUCUUGGCGAGAUUGUUGUGCGCUAUGGUGAUUGCGGGCUGCUUCAGCGCAAGCGUUGCAGCUUGUAUUGAGCUUGACGCGCGCAGUGUUUCUUACCUUGUGCGUCAUCGUCGGUUCACAGGCGAGGAUACUUCUGAGGACAUGGUAGCUCUUCUACGGAGGUGUGAAUGUCUUUGGUAAUACUCGCUCGUAGACCGCUUUCCUUCGGGUACGAUGACUAAAUGGUUCUAUUCGACCCGUC